Molecule: long non-coding RNA, 289 nt
Filed under: Homo sapiens (human)
Lineage: Eukaryota; Metazoa; Chordata; Mammalia; Primates; Hominidae
Description: LHRI_LNC560.1
Source: RNAcentral
GUUUGUUGUGUGUUUGGAGUUGGUUCAUUCUUCAUGACUUACAUUUGCAAAAGGUAGGUUAAAGUCUAGAUUUACCAUUGUAACCUUGUGAGUAAAUUGGGUUCUAAAAAACAGCUAUGUAAAUGAGAUGAAUAAACCUAAAUAUAGACAAACAUCAGAAAGAACAAACAAGGAUAAAAUGGCUUUGAAAUAACUCCAUAAUUAUCUUAGUUAUCAUGAAAGAGACUUUAGGCACUUCUGAGCUAGUCCUUCCAGAUGAUUUUAAAACGGCCCAAGUUUGUAUUUCCUG